GACGAACGCUGGCGGCGUGCUUAACACAUGCAAGUCGAACGGAAAGGCCCUGCUUUUGUGGGGUGCUCGAGUGGCGAACGGGUGAGUAACACGUGAGUAACCUGCCCUUGACUUUGGGAUGACUUCAGGAAACUGGGGCUAAUACCGGAUAGGAGCUCCUGCUGCAUGGUGGGGGUUGGAAAGUUUCGGCGGUUGGGGAUGGACUCGCGGCUUAUCAGCUUGUUGGUGGGGUAGUGGCUUACCAAGGCUUUGACGGGUAGCCGGCCUGAGAGGGUGACCGGCCACAUUGGGACUGAGAUACGGCCCAGACUCCUACGGGAGGCAGCAGUGGGGAAUAUUGCACAAUGGGCGGAAUCCUGAUGCAGCAACGCCGCGUGCGGGAUGACGGCCUUCGGGUUGUAAACCGCUUUCGCCUGUGACGAAGCGUGAGUGACGGUAAUGGGUAAAGAAGCACCGGCUAACUACGUGCCAGCAGCCGCGGUGAUACGUAGGGUGCGAGCGUUGUCCGGAUUUAUUGGGCGUAAAGGGCUCGUAGGUGGUUGAUCGCGUCGGAAGUGUAAUCUUGGGGCUUAACCCUGAGCGUGCUUUCGAUACGGGUUGACUUGAGGGAGGUAGGGGAGAAUGGAAUUCCUGGUGGAGCGGUGGAAUGCGCAGAUAUCAGGAGGAACACCAGUGGCGAAGGCGGUUCUCUGGGCCUUUCCUGACGCUGAGGAGCGAAAGCGUGGGGAGCGAACAGGCUUAGAUACCCUGGUAGUCCACGCUGUAAACGGUGGGUACUAGGUGUGGGGUCCAUUCCACGGGUUCCGUGCCGUAGCUAACGCUUUAAGUACCCCGCCUGGGGAGUACGGCCGCAAGGCUAAAACUCAAAGGAAUUGACGGGGCCCCGCACAAGCGGCGGAGCAUGCGGAUUAAUUCGAUGCAACGCGUAGAACCUUACCUGGGUUUGACAUGGAUCGGGAGUGCUCAGAGAUGGGUGUGCCUCUUUUGGGGUCGGUUCACAGGUGGUGCAUGCCUGUCGUCAGCUCGUGUCGUGAGAUGUUGGGUUAAGUCCCGCAACGAGCGCAACCCUUGUUCACUGUUGCCAGCACGUUAUGGUGGGGACUCAGAGGAGACCGCCGGGGUCAACUCGGAGGAAGGUGGGGAUGACGUCAAGUCAUCAUGCCCCUUAUGUCCAGGGCUUCACGCAUGCUACAAUGGCUGGUACAGAGAGUGGCGAGCCUGUGAGGGUGAGCGAAUCUCGGAAAGCCGGUCUCAGUUCGGAUUGGGGUCUGCAACUCGACCUCAUGAAGUCGGAGUCGUUAGUAAUCGCAGAUCAGCAACGCUGCGGUGAAUACGUUCCCGGGGCU
RNAcentral lists this ribosomal RNA (1346 nucleotides) under uncultured bacterium. Its description in RNAcentral is "partial 16S ribosomal RNA". It matches the Rfam family "Bacterial small subunit ribosomal RNA", at positions 28 to 1381 of the family's 1533-position model. The record is from RNAcentral.